Molecule: ribosomal RNA, 359 nt
Filed under: uncultured bacterium
Lineage: Bacteria
Description: bacterial SSU rRNA
Rfam family: Bacterial small subunit ribosomal RNA
Source: RNAcentral
CCUACGGGAGGCAGCAGUGGGGAAUAUUGGACAAUGGGCGAAAGCCUGAUCCAGCAAUGCCGCGUGAGUGAUGAAGGCCUUAGGGUCGUAAAGCUCUUUUACCCGGGAUGAUAAUGACAGUACCGGGAGAAUAAGCUCCGGCUAACUCCGUGCCAGCAGCCGCGGUAAUACGGAGGGAGCUAGCGUUGUUCGGAAUUACUGGGCGUAAAGCGCACGUAGGCGGUUAUUCAAGUCAGAGGUGAAAGCCCGGGGCUCAACCCCGGAACUGCCUUUGAAACUAGGUAGCUAGAAUCUUGGAGAGGCGAGUGGAAAUUCCGAGUGUAGAGGUGAAAUUCGUAGAUAUUCGGAAGAACACCAGG